GUGAGUCUUAGCUUCUCUCUGCAUCUGUGAGGUCAUCUCCCUUUCUGUAGAGCAUAUGAUCUUUACUGAUGCACCUGCAUCUGGCUCAGACUUAGUCACCCAGCCCUGAAAUUAUAUCAUAUCACAGGUCAUUCUCUGAGUCUCUUAAUGUGAGGCCUUGAGAGAAAAAUCAACAUGCCUUCUGUUGGAUGAAGACCAAUCAGCAAGAUGGUGGUGAUUGUGGUACAGGUCUGUAACAAUGCAAAAGUCAGAACUGGUUGAAAUGUAAAAUUCAGUCCCCUUUUUAUAGAGUCGUUGCAAGGAUCAAGUGAGUUGAAAUCCGUAAGGUGCUUGGGAGAAUGCCUGGCGCCUGGAAGCACUGUAUAUUCCAAAAAAGGAGAUAUAAACAUGACCAUAAAAGACAUGAAAAGAUGUUUAACCCCAUUAGUCAUCGUGGAAAUGCAAAUGAAAACCACCAUACAGACACUAGAGUGGUUUAAAUUUGAAUGACUUCCAACACCAAAUGCCAGACAGGACAUAGAGCAACUGGAUGUCUCAUGCUCACAGGCAGAAGGGAAAACUACUGUGUGUGACAGGAAGAUGGACUUACCCAACCUUCAGCAUUCUCAAUCUCUUGUCUAUUAACAUGUGUUUGAAACAUUAUGCAUUCAAAGCAAACAUCUGGGAGGAAGAUGGGAGAAGCCUUCUUGCCCCUGUUCUACAGAAGUAAUUGAAGUUCAUGACAUUCAAGCUCAUUCACCAGUAAAUGAAUUUGGGUCAUGCUUUAUGUCUGUUGUAAAUACAGUGAAAAUUUGCCUCUGUU
This 802-nucleotide long non-coding RNA is filed under the name Homo sapiens (human). RNAcentral describes it as "uncharacterized LOC105374645, transcript variant 4 (LOC105374645)". The record is from RNAcentral. Lineage: Eukaryota; Metazoa; Chordata; Mammalia; Primates; Hominidae.